This is a long non-coding RNA of Syngnathus acus (greater pipefish), 714 nucleotides long. RefSeq lists it as uncharacterized. NCBI's taxonomy places the organism in Eukaryota, Metazoa, Chordata, Actinopteri, Syngnathiformes, Syngnathidae. The transcript has 3 exons. The record is from RefSeq and is a predicted model, not a curated record.
AUUUAGAACCCACUCAGGGAUAAUGGCUCGUGUCGACAUUGCCAUUAAGAAUGAAUGGGGGAUUUUAAGCCACAAAUUUGCUAAUUACACAAAAACGCUAAAUGUUAUGAACAAAAAAAAUGGUAGCAAGCGUGACAUGAAUUUUUGGAACGUGUGAAAGUUUGAACGGGGUGAAUCAGAAAAUUUUAACUCUUCCCAAUGAAAAGCGCAACUGCACCCCAUCCAACCCGAACUGUGACAAAAAACAAUGUAGGCAAAUGGACAGCAUUGGCAAAAUAAAAUCUUUAUUUGCAAAUUUCGACCACUUCACCCUCCGAAUAAAUGAGUUUAAGUGGGAGUCCAUCUUGUGGUAAUUUUGGUGGCUCAACGAAAGUCUUGCUCCAUACACUCAAGGCAAUUGUGGUUUCAACACCCUCCCCAUCCACCAACUUGACCUCCUCCUCCUCAAUCAUUACCCCUAUAGCCACCAAGUUUACAGUUGCAUCGUAGCCCUAGGGAAUAAAAACACAAUUAGGUUUACUCAGGUGAAAACUGAGAACAAUUAUAGAACUCAAAGGUCACAAAUAACUCCAUAAAGAUAAAGGUCAAUUCAUCACAGUCACAUCACAUGCAAUUACUAAUUCAUAAAAUCCUUCCAUUAUCUGUACCGUUUUGUCCCCACCAGGGGGGGCUGUUUGUAGACACGCUGGUCACAAUUCAACAGCCUUUCUCAUA